RNAcentral lists this ribosomal RNA (310 nucleotides) under uncultured bacterium. RNAcentral describes it as "partial 16S ribosomal RNA". It matches the Rfam family "Bacterial small subunit ribosomal RNA", at positions 503 to 807 of the family's 1533-position model. The record is from RNAcentral.
AAGAGACAGCAGCAGCCACGGUAAUACGUAGGGUGCGAGCGUUAAUCGGAAUUACUGGGCGUAAAGCGUGCGCAGGCGGUUGUGUAAGACAGGUGUGAAAUCCCCGGGCUUAACCUGGGAACUGCGCUUGUGACUGCACAGCUAGAGUAUGGCAGAGGGGGGUGGAAUUCCACGUGUAGCAGUGAAAUGCGUAGAGAUGUGGAGGAAUACCGAUGGCGAAGGCAGCCCCCUGGGCCAAUACUGACGCUCAUGCACGAAAGCGUGGGGAGCAAACAGGAUUAGAUACCCCCGUAGUCCCUGUCUCUUAUAC